UCAUCAGUGUGUCUCUUGUUGCAGGGAUCAAAGUCUGCCGCUAGAGGGAAGAUUUUUAGAAGAACGUUUCUGGCCGACCUCCCACCUGAUUGGAUGAAGAGGAUGAAGAGGAGACUAAAUCAGUGAUCUAAAAGUCUGAACUUUGUGUCUGGACUUUGGGCUGACUGGUUGUUUGAAAACCAUGUUGAGUAUAAUGAUCUGUAGCUCUUUUUGUGACAGCUUGAUUUGGAUACUUAUGGAUAAAACAAAUGUAAAUGAUAAGAUUUGUUAGUGACAUAAGAUGAUGAAGUCAACUCAGCCU
Molecule: non-coding RNA, 301 nt
Organism: Labrus bergylta (ballan wrasse)
Lineage: Eukaryota; Metazoa; Chordata; Actinopteri; Labriformes; Labridae
Source: RefSeq, a predicted model, not a curated record